This 497-nucleotide ribosomal RNA is filed under the name uncultured bacterium. RNAcentral describes it as "partial 16S ribosomal RNA". It matches the Rfam family "Bacterial small subunit ribosomal RNA", at positions 28 to 507 of the family's 1533-position model. The record is from RNAcentral.
GAUGAACGCUGGCGGCGUGCCUAACACAUGCAAGUCGAACGGACAGACGAGGAGCUUUCCUCUCUGAGGGUAGCGGCGGACAGGGGAGUAAAACGUGGCUAACCUUCCUAUCAGAUUGGGAUAACUUCGGCAAACCAGAGCCAAUUACGGAGAAUAUUCUGAACCGGAAGGCUGAAGAGUUUAGGACGGUUUGCUAGUCAAUCAGCGAUGGUCCCGCGCCGGAUUAGCUAGUUGGUAGGGUAACGGCUUACCAAGGCGACGAUGCGUAGCCGACCUGAGAGGGUGAUCGGCCACACUGGGACUGAGACACGGUCCAGACUCCUACGGGAGGCAGCAGUAGGGAAUCUUCGACAAAGGGGGAAAGCCUGACGGAGCAACGCCGCGUGGGUGAUGAAGGUCUUCGGAUCGUAAAGCUCUGUUGUUAGGGAAGAACAAGGGUGUAAGAAAAUAUGUGCGUGUUGACGGUACCUGAACAAGAAGCACCGGCUAACUACGUG